RNAcentral lists this ribosomal RNA (997 nucleotides) under uncultured bacterium. RNAcentral describes it as "bacterial SSU rRNA". It matches the Rfam family "Bacterial small subunit ribosomal RNA", at positions 356 to 1376 of the family's 1533-position model. The record is from RNAcentral.
GGGGAAUAUUGCACAAUGGGGGAAACCCUGAUGCAGCAACGCCGCGUGAAGGAAGACGGUUUUCGGAUUGUAAACUUCUGUUCUUAGUGAAGAAUAAUGACGGUAGCUAAGGAGCAAGCCACGGCUAACUACGUGCCAGCAGCCGCGGUAAUACGUAGGUGGCAAGCGUUGUCCGGAAUUACUGGGUGUAAAGGGAGCGUAGGCGGGAUGCCAAGUCAGCUGUGAAAACUAUGGGCUUAACCUGUAGACUGCAGUUGAAACUGGUAUUCUUGAGUGAAGUAGAGGCAGGCGGAAUUCCUAGUGUAGCGGUGAAAUGCGUAGAUAUCGGGAGGAACACCAGUGGCGAAGGCGACCUACUGGGCACCAACUGACGCUGAGGCUCGAAAGCGUGGGUAGCAAACAGGAUUAGAUACCCUGGUAGUCCAUGCCGUAAACGAUGAUUACUAGGUGUUGGAGGAUUGACCCCUUCAGUGCCGCAGUUAACACAAUAAGUAAUCCACCUGGGGAGUACGACCGCAAGGGUUGAAACUCAAAGGAAUUGACGGGGGCCCGCACAAGCAGUGGAGUAUGUGGUUUAAUUCGACGCAACGCGAAGAACCUUACCAAGUCUUGACAUCCUGCGACGAUGCUGGAAACAGUAUUUUCCUUCGGGACGCAGAGACAGGUGGUGCAUGGUUGUCGUCAGCUCGUGUCGUGAGAUGUUGGGUUAAGUCCCGCAACGAGCGCAACCCUUACUGUCAGUUACUACGCAAGAGGACUCUGGCAGGACUGCCGUUGACAAAACGGAGGAAGGUGGGGAGGACGUCAAAUCAUCAUGCCCUUUAUGACUUGGGCUACACACGUACUACAAGGGCGUUAAACAAAGAGAAGCAAGACCGCGAGGUGGAGCAAAACUCAGAAACAACGUCCCAGUUCGGACUGCAGGCUGCAACUCGCCUGCACGAAGUCGGAAUUGCUAGUAAUCGUGGAUCAGCAUGCCACGGGGAAUACGUUCCCG